Anthonomus grandis grandis is the source of this 637-nucleotide long non-coding RNA. RefSeq lists it as uncharacterized. Lineage: Eukaryota; Metazoa; Arthropoda; Insecta; Coleoptera; Curculionidae. The transcript has 3 exons. The record is from RefSeq and is a predicted model, not a curated record.
UGAAUGGUAAAAAACCGAAAUUUCGAUUUUUCUGAAAAACUACAAUUUUUUUAGUUUUUGAUUAUUAAGUACAAAGUGCCCCUUUGCAAGGAGUACUUGACAGUUUUUAAAUGAAAGCUCUAUCUUUAAUACCAAAAAAGUUAUGCAAAAUUUACGAUCUAAUAAAGUACAUGUGAAUGGUAAAAAACCGAAAUUUCGAUUUUUCUCAAAAACUAUAAUUUUUUCAGUUUUUGAUUAUUACGUACAAGGUGCCCCUUUGCAAGGAGUACUUGACAGUUUUUAAAUGAAAGCUCUAUCUUUAAUAACAAAAAAGUAAUGCAAAAUUUACGAUCUUAUAAAGUACAUGUUAAUGGUAAAAAACCGAAAUUUCGAUUUUUUUCAAAAACUACAACUUUUUUAGUUUUUAAUUAUUACGUACAAGGUGCCCCUUUGCAAGGAGUACUUGACAGUUUUUAAAUGAAAGCUCUAUCUUUAAUAACAAAAAAGUAAUGCAAAAUUUACGAUCUUAUAAAGUACAUGUUAAUGGUAAAAAACCGAAACUUCGAUUUUUUUCAAAAACUACAAUUUUUUUAGUUUUUUAUUAUUACGUCCAAGGUGCCCCUUUACAAGGAGUACUUGACAGUUUUUAAAUGAAAGC